GGGAGAGUAACACGUGGAUAUCUGGCCUCCGGAGUGGGAUAGUUGCGGUAAACUGCAGGUAAUACCAGAUAACGUCUUUGGACCAAAAGUGUGAUUCCGACGGCGGAUGAGUACGCGCCCUAUUAGCUAAUUGGUAGGGUAACGGUCUACCAACGCCAUGAUGGGUAGCGGGAUGUGAGAUCAUGGCCCGCCUCACUGGGACUGAGACAGUGACCAGACACCUACGGGUGGGUGGAGUCGAGGAUCUUCGGCAAUGGACGCAAGUCUGACCGAGCGACGCCGCGUGCGGGAUGAAGGCCUUCGGGUUGUAAACCGCUGUCAGAGGGGAGGAAAUGGUAGAGGGUUCUCCCUCUAUCUUGACCUAUCCUCAGAGGAAGUACGGGCUAAGUUCGUGCCAGCAGCCGCGGUAAGACGAACCGUACGAACGUUAUUCGGAAUCACUGGGCUUAAAGGGUGCGUAGGCGGCGCAGAAAGUUGGGUGUGAAAGCCCUCGGCUCAACCGAGGAAUUGCGCUCAAAAAUACUGUGCUUGAGGGAGAUAGAGGUGAGUGGAACUAAGGGUGGAGCGGUGAAAUGCGUUGAUAUCCUUAGGAACACCGGUGGCGAAAGCGACUCACUGGAUCUCUUCUGACGCUGAGGCACGAAAGCUAGGGUAGCGAACGGGAUUAGAUACCCCGGUAGUCCUAGCUGUAAACGAUGAGCACUGGAUCGGAGAGCCCUCCAUAGCUUUCCGGUCGUAGCGAAAGUGUUAAGUGCUCCGCCUGGGGAGUAUGGUCGCAAGGC
Molecule: ribosomal RNA, 782 nt
Filed under: uncultured Planctomycetota bacterium
Lineage: Bacteria; Pseudomonadati; Planctomycetota
Description: bacterial SSU rRNA
Rfam family: Bacterial small subunit ribosomal RNA
Source: RNAcentral